This 253-nucleotide ribosomal RNA is filed under the name uncultured bacterium. Its description in RNAcentral is "partial 16S ribosomal RNA". It matches the Rfam family "Bacterial small subunit ribosomal RNA", at positions 524 to 776 of the family's 1533-position model. The record is from RNAcentral.
UACGUAGGGACCAAGCGUUGUUCGGAUUUACUGGGCGUAAAGGGCGCGUAGGCGGCGCGGUAAGUCACUUGUGAAAUCUCUGAGCUUAACUCAGAACGGCCAAGUGAUACUGCAGUGCUAGAGUGUGGAAGGGGCAAUCGGAAUUCUUGGUGUAGCGGUGAAGUGCGUAGAUAUCAAGAGGAACACCUGAGGUGAAGACGGGUUGCUGGGCCAACACUGACGCUGAGGCGCGAAAGCCAGGGGAGCGAACGGG